This 301-nucleotide long non-coding RNA is filed under the name Cricetulus griseus (Chinese hamster). RNAcentral describes it as "lncRNA (ENSCGRG00015040503.1)". The record is from RNAcentral. Lineage: Eukaryota; Metazoa; Chordata; Mammalia; Rodentia; Cricetidae.
AGGAAGAUGGAAAUGCCACAAGGAAACCCAUUACUUUCUUUGUUAAUCUAGAGAAAUUAAUUUUUAAAGCGCAACAACAACAACAACAAAAGAUUUCUAAGAAAACCCCGUCUCUUUUGUGCUCUCCCAAGGCUGACCCGGAGGACUCCCUUUUCCAUGCCCUUUGGUGUGGUAGAAAGCAGCCUCCAGGCGGUAACUCGGAAGCCCUCUUCAGUGAUCACACAUGGAAUAUCGGUAACGUUAUAGUUCCUAUUGACAGCCUCCCAAUUAACUGCCAGUCUGUGACUAAGGAAAUAGCCAC